GACGAACGCUGGCGGCGUGCUUAACACAUGCAAGUCGAACGGAAAGGCCCUUCGGGGUACUCGAGUGGCGAACGGGUGGGUAACACGUGGGUGAUCUGCCCUGCACUUUGGGAUAAGCAUGGGAAACUGGGUCUAAUACCGAAUAGGACCACGCGCUUCAUGGUGUGUGGUGGCAAGCUUUUGCGGUGUGGGAUGGGCCCGCGGCCUAUCAGCUUGUUGGUUGGGUAAUGGCCUACCAAGGCGACGACGGGUAGCCGGCCUGGGAGGGUGACCGGCCACACUGGGACUGAGAUACGGCCCAGACUGCUACGGGAGGCAGCAGUGGGGAAUAUUGCACAAUGGGCGCAAGCCUGAUGCAGCGACGCCGCGUGAGGGAUGACGGCCUUCGGGUUGUAAACCUCUUUCAAUAGGGACGAAGCGCAAGUGACGGUACCUAUAGAAGAAGCACCGGCCAACUACGUG
RNAcentral lists this ribosomal RNA (462 nucleotides) under uncultured bacterium. RNAcentral's name for it is "partial 16S ribosomal RNA". It matches the Rfam family "Bacterial small subunit ribosomal RNA", at positions 28 to 507 of the family's 1533-position model. The record is from RNAcentral.